GGGAGCAGCUCCCUCAAUCACUCGCUAUUAUUCCAAAACAAAAAUACUAAAGAGACAUUUCAUUGUUCAACUGGGAUCAGGAAGGAAAAAAACAUCAAGUUCUUGCAAUCAGGCAAGAGAAUACCAUGCACAGGGUGACGUACAGAAUAAUGUAGAAAGUGUGUCAAAUAGUAAAGGUAGUAUGAGUCUACCUUAGAGACUAUGUUUAAAAUGCAACCAGCCUAAUCUACACAUACACAGGCGCCACUUGGAGCUACCAAAGUAUGGGAGCAAUAAUAAUCAUUCGCACACUUUCUGAUUACUUGUACCUACAAAGUGCUGGGCUAUCAACUCAUUCAUGGGAAGACGUGCAGAAAGUGCUUGAAGAAGUAGAAUAUUACCAAAUCAAUCCACUUGAGCUUGGAACUUUUCUUCGGUCAGUGUUGGCCAAAAAAUUUGCUUGGCUGUAUUCCCCGCUUGUAUUCCACAAGUUGAACGUUUCUUCAGCUAGCCACUUGAAUUCAACAAGUUGCAGGAUUAUCACACUGAAUUCAACAAGUUGCAGCCACUGCCUCAUAUUCCCUCGGACACAGGGCUUCCAACAAUACUUGGUGUCCAGGAUUUGUAUUAACCCCGAUUCCAACACUGAAACCUUUAUUACUAAAAUAAAGUCAAUACAAAUUCAGCAUGGAAUUUUCCCAAGGAUAGUUGCAUUGCCGCCCCACCACUUGAGCUAAUCUUUUGUUCUGUGUACCAGCUGAAAAGCAAGGAGGGAAACAUUUAAGAGAAUAGCUUAAGACAUAACUGAAGCAGUUACAGAUUACAUCAUCAAACAAACAAGAAAUACUAUCAAACCAACCAGAGGAGCUACCAUCAGAUAAAAACUCUGCCGCAAUGUUAACUCAAAAGUCCAUUUAGUGCAUAAGUUGUAGACGGAGAAGAAUUCAGAAGGAUAUGAGUAGGCGUACGCUGUGGGUACCCUUCUAUCCCUGCUUUCAAUUGCUUUCAAGGAGUAAUUACUCUGUCAUAUUUCCACAGGCAUGAGGAAAGAAAAUAGAGUAAGAGAUGGCGACGCUGAAGGAAAAAUAGGCAGUCCAACAGUAGCUGCCAAAGGAAAGAAAAAUGGGACAGAGAUGGUGACAGAUACUGAAGAAUAUCAUCCAGCAGCAGCUUCCACUCAACUGCUGUGUGUUGACUGACUGAGGACCUCAUGACAAUGUACGAGACAUUCCUUAAAUACUCAUCAAUGGUUUCCAUGGAAUCACAUCCUCCAACCAAUACACAACACACAGACACUAGGCAGCAAGAUGCCAUCUUUCUCAACACCAUUGUUGUACCUCUGCCUACUGCUGGUGCCGUGCCUUCUUCUCUUGCAAGAAGCACACGCGGCGCGCCAUGGAGGGAUCUCACUGAGGUCCCAACACAUGGCCCUCCUCCACUGGAAAGCUACACUUGCGAGCCCACCACCGCAGAUGAACUCUUGACAGGAAAACACCAGCCCGUGCAAUUGGACGGGCAUCAUGUGCACGGCUGUUCGCCAUGGCCGCCGCAUGCCCUGGGUGGUGACCAACAUUUCCCUGCCGGAUGCUGGCAUCCAUGGCCAGCUUGGUGAGCUCAACUUCUCGGCUCUUCCAUUCCUUGAAUAUAUUGACCUCAGUAACAACAGUAUCCAUGGUGCACUACCUGCUAGUAUUAGCUCCCUGUCAGCACUUUCAGUACUUGGCCUUCGGCAGAACCAGCACACAGGGAAAAUCCCACAUGAGAUUGGAGACCUGCAAAGUCUUAGGGUGCUUGAACUCUCAUUUAACAGAUUCACAGGACAGAUCCCUGCAUCUCUAGGCAACCUAACAAUGUUAACUAAUCUCAUCAUUGACCAAACCAUGGUAUCAGGUCCCAUUCCUGAGGAGAUUGGAAGGCUUGUCAACCUACAAAUCCUACAGCUAACCAACAGCACCUUAAGCGGUCUGAUACCAAAAACCCUUGGAAAUCUGACCCAACUAAAUACUUUGUACCUGUUUUAUAAUCAACUUUCAGGGCCUAUACCGAAAGAACUAGGCAGGUUAAUCCAUUUGCAAAGUCUUAAGCUUAGUUUAAAUGAUUUUUCAGGUCCAAUUCCUAUAACCAUAACCAAUCUGACUAAGUUGAACCAACUUUUCCUCUCUGAAAAUCAAAUCACAGGUUCCAUCCCCCCGAAAAUAGGAAAUCUCAAUAUGUUAAACAAUCUUGAUCUAAUGAAAAAUCAAAUAACAGGUUCAAUACCCCGAGAACUUAGCAACCUCACUAUGUUAAAUAAACUUUAUCUCUACAAAAAUCAAAUCACUGGUUCAAUACCUGUAGAACUGGGCAUCUUGCCAAAUCUACAAGAAUUAGACUUUUCGUACAACCAAAUAUCUGGCUUUAUUCCUGGCAGCUUAGGAAAUAUAACCAAGCUGGUAGUACUUUCCCUUGAUGUAAAUCAGAUAACCGGUUCCAUUCCCCAAGAGAUUGGCAAUCUGAUGAGCCUCGAACUAUUAGGCUUGUAUCAGAACCAUAUUUCAGGAUCAAUACCAAAAACCUUUGGGAAGUUGCAAAGCAUCCAAGAACUACAAAUCUAUGAUAACAAAUUAUCAGGUUCUCUUCCUCGAGAAUUCGGAGAUCUCGUAAACCUUGUUCGACUUGGGCUAUCUAGAAACUCACUUUCAGGACCUUUACCCGCAAAUAUAUGCUCAGGUGGUAGACUAGAACAAAUAGUUGUCUUCUCUAAUAUGUUCAAUGGCCCUAUUCCAAGUAGUUUAAAGAAAUGUACAAGUUUGGUUCGAAUUGACCUUCAGUCGAACCAACUAACAGGAGAUAUAUCUCAGCAUUUUGGUGUCUAUCCACAACUCACAAGGAUGGCCUUGUCAUCAAAUAGACUCUCUGGGCAGAUCUCCCAAAAUCUAGGUGCAUGUAGCCAACUGAUGGUACUACGUCUAGCACAAAAUAUGAUCACGGGUUUCAUACCUCCUAUCCUUUCUAAAUUAUCCAAGCUGGAAGAACUAAGACUUGAUUAUAAUCAUCUCAGAGGUGAGAUUCCACCAGAAAUUUGCAGUUUAACAAAUCUCUAUAGACUAAACUUAUCAUCGAACCAAUUAUCUGGAUCCAUACCUGCACAGAUAGAAAAGCUAGGAAAUCUAGGAUACCUUGAUAUAUCUAGGAAUAGACUGAGUGGAUUAAUACCUGAGGAACUAGCGACUUGCAUCAUACUAUUGUCCUUGAAGAUCAACAACAAUAACUUCAGUGGGAGUUUGCCUGGUGCAAUUGGAAAUUUGAUAGGCCUGCAAAUCACGUUAGACGUGAGCAACAAUAACCUAAGUGGUGUGUUGCCGCAACAACUUGGGAAGUUGCAGAUGCUAGAAUUUCUGAAUCUAUCACAUAAUCAGUUCGGUGGCACCAUUCCAUCCUCCUUUGCAAGCAUGGUGAGCCUUUCAACGCUUGACGUGUCAUACAAUGACUUGGAAGGACCAGUCCCAACACUCAGGCAACUCCAAAAUGCUUCAGCAAAUUGGUUUCUUCCCAAUAAAGGUCUGUGUGGUAACCUCUCUGGCCUACAACUUUGUGAUUCAACUCCAGUUCCAGCCGGUCACCACAAACGGAAGAUACUUGGUUUGCUUUUGCCAAUUGUUCUUGUGGUGGGUUUUGGCAUUUUUUCUGCAACUGUUGUCAUAAUAGUGCUUAGUCGUAACAAGACAAAACCACAAGAAGUUGUUACUGCUGAAGGAAGGGACCUAUUCUCUGUUUGGAAUUUCGACGGAAGAUUAGCAUUUGACGAUAUCGUAAGGGCAACGGAAGACUUUGAUGAUAAGUACAUCAUUGGAACAGGAGGAUACGGCAAUGUCUACAAGGCACAACUCCAAGACAGUCAGCUAGUUGCUGUGAAGAAGCUUCAUCAGACAGAAGAAGAGUUGGAUGACGAAAGAAGGUUUCGCAGUGAAAUGGAAAUCUUAUUACAGAUCCGCCAACGAAGCAUUGUCAAAAUGUAUGGAUUCUGCUCCCAUUCAGCGUAUAAAUUUCUUGUCUACGACUACAUUCCGCAAGGAAGCCUCCACCGGACGUUGGAAAAUGAGGAGCUAGCAAAGGAAUUGGAUUGGCAGAAGAGAAUUGUUGCUGUAAAUGAUGUGGCUCAAGCAGUAUCUUAUUUGCACCACGAAUGCAGUCCACCUAUAAUCCAUCGAGAUAUAACGAGCAACAACAUCUUACUUGAUGCAACCUUCAAGGCUUUCGUCUCAGAUUUCGGCACAGCAAGGAUUCUUAAGCCUGAUUCAUCAAACUGGAGUGCACUAGCAGGGACGUAUGGGUACAUAGCUCCUGGUAUGUACUAGUAUAACCUUCCUUCUCAGAUCUGAAGCAUUUAUCUCUAUCUAUUUGUUCCUAGCUCUAAUGUUUUGAUUCUGUGCAGAACUCUCGUGCACAUCUGUUGUGACGGAGAAAUGUGAUGUCUAUAGCUUCGGUGUGGUUGUGCUAGAGCUAGUGAUGGGGAAGCAUCCAAGGGAUCUAUUAGACGGUAGUUUGUUGAGCGGGGAACAAGCUAUGCUAGUAAAAGAUAUUCUAGACCAACGGCCGACAACACCAACAACAACAGAAGAGAAUAGCUUAGCUCUCCUCAUCAAGAUGGCCUUUUCUUGCUUGGAAUCCUCUCCACAAGCAAGGCCAACCAUGCGAGAGGCAUACCAAACACUCAUCCAGCGACCCACUUCCAGUUCCUACCCCGUGCCUUUCAGCGCACUUACAUUACAGCAAGGGAGUGAUGCAUGUUGAUAUAUGAUCUGAAUUCUAGUGAGAAGCCAAGGUCUAUCAUUGUGGAAGCCGAUUUAGGUUUAUGUUUUGCCUCAAGUCACUCAUAUACCAUCUAUAUAUGUAAAAGUCUGUAAUCAUCUCAUGUCGUCUCGUAGAUUUUAUUUCUAGCAAAAACAAUAACCGAUCCAUGCAGCAUGAGCCUGAUCACGACAUGGCCAGAUCAGUAGUUGCAUGCUAUUACGAUCGCCUCGUGGGAUGGCACGAGUACCGGCUGUAGCGGCUUAGAGCUUGAGGCAUGAUCAAGGGACGUGGGAUGGCAUGUCCGUGAAGCUUGGUCAUGGCGCAAGAUUAGGAUCUUUAUGUUAGCUAUUAGUUGAGCUAAUGAGCUGUUUAAAUAAAGAGGAGAACAAAGCAGAAAAGCUGCAACGGUUUACGCAACGCAAACAUCCUGAGUGUCCACUGAUUCUUCUCCCUCCCUAUGCCUCAGGAUGAGUUCAUGACUCGUUGUAAGUGGUCGAUGCGUAAACAUGAAAAAAUAAAUAUAAACACACGAAGCUAGGUGCAUAAAAAAGGAAAAUUACCAUAGGACUAAGCAAUAGAACUUAUGUGGGGCUGUAUGGCAAGAGUAUGAACUCCUUAUCCUUACGAUGGAGCAUUGUAUCCAGGAGUAUGUAGUCCUCGUCCUUCAGAUGCAACAACAAAUAAUUUACUACUACACUAAAUUUCAAACAUUGAUUGGCGAGAUUGAAAUGGAACAGAGAUACAACCUUAUUUUUUAUUCAUGCCUAAUAAAAGCUUAACAAAGGAUGAGAUGAUAUGAUAUGCAAAGUCCCAGAUGACAGACAACAGUGAGAGCUAAGCUACUGCAAUCAUAGACAUGAAGAGUCUGGUAUGAACAUAUCCCAUAAUCUUUUUACCAAGAAAGUAGGUACCGAUUCACCUAAAAAUUCAACUCACCUAGUGUAAUCACAGACAUACUAAGAACAAGAUGUACAACCGUACAGAGAACAGCUCCAUUUACCAUUCUUCAACGACUGGCAGUAAUAUAUGAGGAAAAAUACAACGAAUUUGUCCAUGCACAAACAAAGCACUGCAGGCAGUCCUAGUUCAUCCUCCUGCACAAGAAUUAUGAAAGCAGGUAUGGAUUCAGAUGAGAUUAUCUUCAAUCCUGACAAUCUUCAUCAUACCUUUCAGCUCUUUAUUGGCGGCCUUCAUUGGCUCAUUGCAGUCAUCUGUUAAAUGAAAGACACUUCAACAUAAAUCUGGGAGCUAGGUAUCAGAAUCUACCAACCAAGGACCCUAUAUGAAACUAAGGCAACAUACAGUCUGUUGAGGAUCAUUCAUUCUCUCUGAUGCGAAAGAAACUUGGUCAAGAUUGUAUAUUUUGCUGUACAGCAUGUCACACUGCCGUCCAUACCAGUAGAAAAGCAUGUGGAGUAUAGAGAUUAGAGCACUAGAACCAGACAAAUAGGCUGCUGCCGCAGAAAAGAAUGAUUAAAUGCUACAGGAUAACCAACUAGAUAAAUUUAACUAAGGCCAGGAGCAUGGAGCAACAAUAGCAUUCACAAUUCUAUCUUGUCCAUGUCAAGAAGUUGCUAGCCUUCCAUAUCAGCAGUCUCUAUAACAAGUAAGCUAAGCAGAUAAGAACACAACCUUUACCUAACAGGAACUUCUGAAAGUGUACAAAAAAGACCUAUUGUACAGAAUAAGAAGAGAAAAUAAUCCAAAGGUGUAUGAAAGCACUUGGGCUAGAUUCAGGAUUCAGCAAUACCUUCUCAGCAAGCCUUUUAGAUGGGUG
This 6529-nucleotide long non-coding RNA is filed under the name Triticum aestivum (bread wheat). Its description in RNAcentral is "long non-coding RNA (TAES_LNC028339)". Lineage: Eukaryota; Viridiplantae; Streptophyta; Magnoliopsida; Poales; Poaceae. The record is from RNAcentral.